CCUACGGGCGGCAGCAGUGAGGAAUAUUGGUCAAUGGGCGGAAGCCUGAACCAGCCAAGUCGCGUGCGGGAAGACGGCCCUACGGAUCGUAAACCUCUUUUGUCCGGGAGUAAAACACUCCACUUGUGGCGUUCUGAAGGUACCCGACGAAUAAGCACCGGCUAACUCCGUGCCAGCAGCCGCGGUAAUACGGAGGAUGCGAGCGUUAUCCGGAUUUAUUGGGUUUAAAGGGUGCGCAGGCGGACGAUCAAGUCAGCGGUAAAAUUGAGGGGCUCAACCUCGUCGAGCAGUUGACACUGGUUGUCUUGAGUGAACGAGAAGCAGGCGGAAUGCGUGGUGUAGCGGUGAAAUGCAUAGAUAUCACGAAGAACCCCGAUUGCGAAGGCAGCAUACCGGCGUUCAACUGACGCUGAUGCACGAAGGUGUGGGUAUCGAACAGGAUUAGAUACCCGUGUAGUC
This 459-nucleotide ribosomal RNA is filed under the name uncultured bacterium. RNAcentral's name for it is "partial 16S ribosomal RNA". It matches the Rfam family "Bacterial small subunit ribosomal RNA", at positions 338 to 795 of the family's 1533-position model. The record is from RNAcentral.